RNAcentral lists this long non-coding RNA (670 nucleotides) under Bos mutus (wild yak). Its description in RNAcentral is "lncRNA (ENSBMUG00000021514.1)". The record is from RNAcentral. Lineage: Eukaryota; Metazoa; Chordata; Mammalia; Artiodactyla; Bovidae.
GAAAGGCAGCUUACCAGCAUGUCUUUUUUUUGUUUUUGUUUUUUCCCCCUCACAGACUGAUCUCUCCUAGAACAGUUGAGAAGAAUGCACACAGAAUCUACAUUCUUUUGACCCUUCCAACAUCCGCUGGCCAAGACUGGGAUCGCUCCCUAAGAUUGGAAAGCUGCCUCUGAGACUCUGAAGGUUUACCUGCUGAUACUCGCUCCUUCCCAGUAACCCUCCAUCCCAAGGGGAGCCCCAGAAAGAACACCAGGGGGGCCUCCCUGCUGCCGCAGAACCACCUCACCCGCCACUCCAGCACUAAGUCAGAGCUGCCUGAGGAAGACUCCGCACACGUUUCCCUCGAGCUGGUCUGCAGGCCCCUCUGGCUGGGACCCUGUCCUGGGAGCUGCCCGUCUGCAAACAGAGAGCCCACAGUGCCUCGGGAAAAAUUGGCUGAAUAAAAGAUGCGUUGGAGGGAAGGACAGGAGAUACAGGAACGAGGAUGGAGCAGAGCAAGAUGGGGUUGAAGGAGCGUCCACAGAAGCUUCUGUGCAGGCCAGGCUGAGAGGUCACUACCCAGAAGGCUGAGGGUCCCCGAUGCUGGCCGGGCUCCAGAGACUCCUGAACUUGUGGAUGUGGAGUUUUUCCUCCUCCAGUUUUGUGAUGAAUAAAUUCACUUGUCUCCCCA